RNAcentral lists this non-coding RNA (45 nucleotides) under Schistosoma haematobium. The record is from RNAcentral. Lineage: Eukaryota; Metazoa; Platyhelminthes; Trematoda; Strigeidida; Schistosomatidae.
AUCCAGCUGACCAGUUCCAUAUAGGACGAAACUUACAUCCUGGAU